Bactrocera oleae (olive fruit fly) is the source of this 712-nucleotide non-coding RNA. Lineage: Eukaryota; Metazoa; Arthropoda; Insecta; Diptera; Tephritidae. The record is from RefSeq and is a predicted model, not a curated record.
UUAUGGUAGAAGCAGCGAAUAUAAAUUAACGUUCUCUGGUAGAAGUACACAUUGCGUUGUGAGCAGCGAUUUGUUUUGUUGAAACGCAACCACCAAUCUUGAAUAUAUGUAUAUAAGUUUUCAUUCACUCGUAUAAACGGUCUUCGAAUUCUCAGAAAUGUUAACGAAUUGUGAAUUGAAAACAUUGGACAUUUGCGAAAUAAAGCAUACUUACCUGGCGUAGAGGUUACCGUGAUCAUGAAGGCGGUUCCUCCGGAGUGAGGCUUGACCAUUGCACCUUCGGUUGAGUUGACCCCGCGAUUAUUCCUAAUGCGAAAAACUCGUGCGUGUAAUUUUUGGUAGCCGGGAAUGGCGUUCGCGCCGUCCCGACAUUGUUGAAUGUAUAAUAUGGAAAUAAGUAAAUGGAAGGGAUUUUGUCGCUUUUAUUGAAAUAAACGAUGAGGAUAUUAUUAUCAGGGGCGUUGCAAGAUUCUGAUAGUUAUCGAAAGCAGAAUGGAAACCGAUAUGGAAAUGUCGUAGAGUCAUGAAUUUCAGAUAUUAUUUGUGUUCGAAACAGAAAUUUUAUCGAUUUGUUAUCAGAAGCGCAAAGCAAUUCGCUGACAGACUUGAAAUGGAAAAACAUAAGAAUAAAGCACAAAAUGAGUGACAAACAUUUUAAGAGGAUUUACGAAACGUAAUUUAACACCCAAAUGCGUCUAUAUUCAGUCGAUAA